ACUACGUGGGUGAUCAGAAAAUUCUCAGUGCUCUAUACUGCUAGUGGGAAGAAGGGUGUAUUAGUACAACCACAUUGGAAAAGUUUCCCCUAACCUAGGAGGGUCAGAUGUGUUAACAAUUCCACUCCUAGAUUAUUCCCUGAAGAAACUCAUGCUCAUGUACACCAGGAGCCAUGCACAAAGAAUGUUCUCAGCAGUAUCGUUCCUCAGAGCAAAAACACGAAACGAAACAGGGGUCUACAGUAUGACUCCAUGUCUAUCAUGUUCAAAAACAUUCUUUAGUUAUGCCUAAAUUAUGCAGAGAUUGGUCAUAGGUGGUAAAACUACUGAAAACAAAUCAAGAGAAUGAUUAUUACAAAAGAAUAGCUGUGAGGGUACGGCUCUUUAACUGGGGUGGGAGGGUCAGGCUUCCAUGUGUGGUCCUAACCUUUUCAUUCCCUAACCUGGGGGAUAGAAACAUAGAAGUUCAUUAUUUUGUUUUAAUGUAUGUGUGUGGCUAU
Long non-coding RNA from Panthera uncia (snow leopard), 500 nucleotides. RefSeq lists it as uncharacterized. NCBI's taxonomy places the organism in Eukaryota, Metazoa, Chordata, Mammalia, Carnivora, Felidae. The transcript has 2 exons. The record is from RefSeq and is a predicted model, not a curated record.